Molecule: ribosomal RNA, 474 nt
Filed under: uncultured bacterium
Lineage: Bacteria
Description: partial 16S ribosomal RNA
Rfam family: Bacterial small subunit ribosomal RNA
Source: RNAcentral
AACGAACGCUGGCGGCAUGCCUAACACAUGCAAGUCGAACGAGACCUUCGGGUCUAGUGGCGCACGGGUGCGUAACGCGUGGGAACCUGCCCUUAGGUUCGGAAUAACUCCCCGAAAGGGGUGCUAAUACCGGAUAAUGUCUUCGGACCAAAGAUUUAUCGCCUUUGGAUGGGCCCGCGUUGGAUUAGCUAGUUGGUAGGGUAAAAGCCUACCAAGGCGACGAUCCAUAGCUGGUCUGAGAGGAUGAUCAGCCACACUGGGACUGAGACACGGCCCAGACGAGUAGGGGAGGCAGGGGUGGGCAAGAGUGGAAGACGGGAGACAGUCUGAUCCAGCAGUGUGGGGUGCGUUAGGACUGUCUUAGGUGUGUAACGCUCUUUCACGCGGGAUAAUAAUCACGGUACAGGGAGAAUGUGCCCCGGCUCCCCCCGCGCAAGCAGCCGUGUUAACAAGCGGACGAGCCCCCGUCUAAAC